Oryzias melastigma (Indian medaka) is the source of this 1921-nucleotide long non-coding RNA. RefSeq lists it as uncharacterized. The record is from RefSeq and is a predicted model, not a curated record. Lineage: Eukaryota; Metazoa; Chordata; Actinopteri; Beloniformes; Adrianichthyidae. The transcript has 4 exons.
AGCACAUGUGAUGAAGUAACAUCACAUGGGGGGGGUGGCGCUCUGCAGUGGCGUCACCCAAAUGCUCCUUUUAUCUCGACAAAAAGGAAUAAAUGUAAGUAAAUCCAAAAGGACCGCUGACAGAAUCAAAUGUUGGAAUGGUUCUCCCUCAAAGGCUUCAACAAUGACUUGUACAAUUCUCUCGGGCCGCCGUUAUUAAAGUAGAAGCUGUUUACAUCCGCGGGCUCAUGGUAGAGGCGAGGAAAGAGGCGGACGUUCAUAAUAAACUCACUCCAGAUUGGCGACAGUACUUCCUAUAGAUUCUGUCAGGUCUUGACAGUUCCUGCUCCUCUGCCGCCCUCUCCUGGUCCAGUUUUUUUCCUUGGUUUCCGCUCGCCCUUUUUCCUCUCUCUCCUCCACAGGUGUCCAGGAUGCAGCAGGGAAUCCUGGCACACCUGCGACUCAUCACCUCAACAGUAUUUAGGACUGGUUCAUCCAGCUUCUCCCUGCCAGUUCGUCUGCUUACCUCAAGUGUUUGUUUUCACCUGGAUCCGUCCCUGCCUGCCUGCCUGAUCUCUGCUUCUGCUGGACCGUAUCCUCCCCCAACCUACUUUGACCUGUAACUUUAAUAAACACCUCACUGUCCAACUCAUCAACACCUCCUGUCUUUUGAUCAUGACAGAACGAACUGGCCUAACAAUGGAUGUUGAUGAGUCCAACCCUGUGCCAUUGACAACAGAUGAUCUUUGAAAAUCCAUUGAAGCCCAGGGGCGCCUCCUCGCUGCCCUGCCUGUUUCAACAUCUGACCCAUCUGCUGCCCAAAGAGACUCUUAUGCCCCGGAUCCGGAACCGUUCUCUGGUGAUCUAAGUCGUUGCCGCGGUUUCCUGCUCCAGUGUCGUCAUGUUUUUUGCAACGACCAGCAACCUUCAGCUCAGAUAAGUCCAAGAUCCUUUAUGUCAUCGGGCUUCUCAGGGGCAGAGCUCUAGACUGGGCAGAGGCAGCAGAAUUACGCUGUUCCUUCCUCUCAGCCUCUUGUGUAUCUUUCGAAGCUAAUUUCAAGAGUGUUUUCGACCACCCAGACCAUGGUGGUCCAGCAGAAGACCGCUGAUUAGGCCUUGUUCAGGGAUCGAGAAGUGCAGCUGAUUACUCUGUGGAGUUUCAGACCCUGGCUGCAGAUUCCGGGUGGAAUGAGGUAGCACUCAUGAGGGCUUUCAGGAGGGGAUUAAAUGACCGUCUCAAAGACGAGCUAGUUUGCGUAGACCAGUCUCCUGACCUGCAUUCUCUGUUCCAACUCUCCAUCAGGCUUGACAACCGCCUCCGGGAGCGCCAAAGAGAAAAAAAGGGCCGUCACAACCUCUACAUGAACCAAUUGAGGAACCCAUGCAGCUGGGCAGAACACGCCUCACAUCUGAGGAACGCCAGCAAAGACUUCAGCUCGGAAACUGUCUUUACUGCGAACUCCUCAGAUCAUGUCCACCACGUGCGUCUGGUACUCCAACGCCUGUUGCAAAACCAAGUGUAUGCCAAAGCAGAAAAAUGUGAGUUUCAUGCCCCCUCAAUCGCAUUUCUCGGGUUCAUUCUCGGUUCUGGACAACUUAAGACGGACCCUUCCAAAAUCACAGCAAUAACAGAAUGGCCGGUCCCCACCACUCGCAAAUGACUUCAGCAGUUUCUUGGGUUUGCCAAUUUUUACCGUAAAUUCAUAAAGAACUACAGUACAAUCGUUCAGCCUCUCACCCAACUCACUUCCACCAAAAUCCGAUUCGCCUGGUCCACGCAAUCCCAAGAAGCCUUUGAUUCUCUGAAGCAGAGAUUCUCAUCGGCUCCUGUCCUCUGUCAACCUGACCUUGAAAAGCCUUUUGUGGUGGAAGUGGACGCCUCAGAUUCUGGAGUGGGUGCUGUCCUAUCUCAGGUCUCUGACACGGACAAAAAAGUCCACCC